This 649-nucleotide ribosomal RNA is filed under the name bacterium IRQ_07. Its description in RNAcentral is "bacterial SSU rRNA". It matches the Rfam family "Bacterial small subunit ribosomal RNA", at positions 836 to 1486 of the family's 1533-position model. The record is from RNAcentral.
GGCGUGGCUUCCGGAGCUAACGCGUUAAGUCGACCGCCUGGGGAGUACGGCCGCAAGGUUAAAACUCAAAUGAAUUGACGGGGGCCCGCACAAGCGGUGGAGCAUGUGGUUUAAUUCGAUGCAACGCGAAGAACCUUACCUACUCUUGACAUCCAGAGAACUUUCCAGAGAUGGAUUGGUGCCUUCGGGAACUCUGAGACAGGUGCUGCAUGGCUGUCGUCAGCUCGUGUUGUGAAAUGUUGGGUUAAGUCCCGCAACGAGCGCAACCCUUAUCCUUUGUUGCCAGCGGUUAGGCCGGGAACUCAAAGGAGACUGCCAGUGAUAAACUGGAGGAAGGUGGGGAUGACGUCAAGUCAUCAUGGCCCUUACGAGUAGGGCUACACACGUGCUACAAUGGCGCAUACAAAGAGAAGCGACCUCGCGAGAGCAAGCGGACCUCAUAAAGUGCGUCGUAGUCCGGAUUGGAGUCUGCAACUCGACUCCAUGAAGUCGGAAUCGCUAGUAAUCGUAGAUCAGAAUGCUACGGUGAAUACGUUCCCGGGCCUUGUACACACCGCCCGUCACACCAUGGGAGUGGGUUGCAAAAGAAGUAGGUAGCUUAACCUUCGGGAGGGCGCUUACCACUUUGUGAUUCAUGACUGGGGGAAGU